UCGACGAACAUGGAAGACGGAAUUUUUCGGAAGGAAGUCUUCUAUGACUGAGUGGCGGACGGGUGAGUAACGCGUGGGUAACCUGCCUCAUACAGGGGGAUAACAGUUAGAAAUGACUGCUAAUACCGCAUAAGACCACAGUGCCGCAUGGCACAGGGGCCAAAGCCUUGACGGUAUGAGAUGGACUCGCGUCCCAUUAGCUAGUUGGUAGGGUAAUGGCCUACCAAGGCGACGAUGGGUAGCCGGCCUGAGAGGGUGGCCGGCCACACUGGGACUGAGACACGGCCCAGACUCCUACGGGAGGCAGCAGUGGGGAAUUUUGCGCAAUGCUCGUAAGAGUGACGCAGCGACGCCGCGUGAAUGACGAAGGCCUUCGGGUCGUAAAGUUCUUUCGACAGGGAAGAAAAUGCCUAUAAGUAACUGUGUAUGUAUUGACGGUACCUGUAUAAGCAGCCCCGGCUAACUCCGUGCCAGCAGCCGCGGUAAUACGGAGGGGGCGAGCGUUGUUCGGAGUGACUGGGCGUAAAGAGCACGUAGGCGGUGUUGUAAGUCAUUAGUCAAAGACUAGAGCUCAACUUUAGUAAGGCUAGUGAUACUAUAAUACUAGAGUAUCAGAGAGGAUUGCAGAAUUCCUGGUGUAGCGGUGAAAUGCGUAGAUAUCAGGAGGAAUACCGUUAGCGAAGGCGGCAAUCUGGCUGGGAACUGACGCUGAGGUGCGAAAGCGUGGGUAG
Molecule: ribosomal RNA, 731 nt
Filed under: uncultured bacterium
Lineage: Bacteria
Description: bacterial SSU rRNA
Rfam family: Bacterial small subunit ribosomal RNA
Source: RNAcentral